CUGAUGCAAUCAUGUCUAAAAAUGUUAACUGUGCUCCUGCGAAGUACUAAGAUUACCCUUUCCUCAGAACAACUGCAUCUGCUAAUUCAGUUUCCACUGUUCAUUGAUCUUGAGCGGAAUCCCUCUUUUGUGGCCCUCUCACUUCUAAAGGCAGUUGUUAAUCGCAAGCUGGUUGUUCCUGAGAUAUAUGAUGUUAUGAUGCAUAUUGCAGAGCUAAUGGUUACAAGCCAAGUGGAUUCAAUUCGCAAGAAAUGCAGUCAGAUUAUGUUGCAAUUUUUACUAGAUUAUCAUCUUUCUGGAAAAUAUUUACAACAACAUUUAGAUUUUCUGCUGAGGAAUUUGAGUUAUGAGUAUUCAACUGGAAGAGAAUCUGUACUUGAAAUGCUCCAUGCUAUAAUAGUCAAAUUUCCCAGGAACUUUCUGGAUAAACAUGCACAAACAAUAUUUAUCCAUUUGGUGCAAUGUUUAGUCAAUGACCGUGAUAAUAAAGUCCGUUCCAUGACCGGUNUUAAAGCUUUUGAUUGGACGUGCAAGUCCUCAUUUGCUAGAUUCCAUGUUUGACUUUAGUCUAUCUUGGUAUAUGGAUGAAAAGCGGCAAGUCCAGAGCACUGGUGCACAGGUACUGGGAUUAUUGGUUGAGGUCAUGAAUAAAAGCUUUCAAAAGCAUAUCAGCAGUAUAUUGCCUGUGAGCAAAACCAUUUUGCAGGCUGCUGUGGGUGUUGCCAGUGAGAGUCCAGCGCUAGAUCUUCAUGAUGAAGCUGUUCCUCUCUGGAAAGAGGCAUAUUAUUCGUUAGUUUUGUUGGAGAAGAUUCUACAUCAUUUUCAUGAUCUCAGCUUUGAAAAGGAUUUUGAGGAUAUAUGGGAAGCAGUAUGUGAGUUGCUCUUACACCCACACCCAUGGUUACGCAACAUAUCAAGUCGCCUUGUGGCAAUUUACUAUGCUACUGUGACUAAGGCCAGCAAAGAGAGUCAUGAAAAAGCAUUGGGAACAUUUUUCCUUAUGAGGCCACAUAGGCUUUUUAUGAUAGCUGUUUCCCUUUGCUGCCAGCUAAAAACACAAGUCAUUGAUAACGCUGUUGAA
Molecule: unclassified non-coding RNA, 1081 nt
Filed under: Hevea brasiliensis (rubber tree)
Lineage: Eukaryota; Viridiplantae; Streptophyta; Magnoliopsida; Malpighiales; Euphorbiaceae
Source: RNAcentral